AAUGAACGUUGGCGGCGUGGAUUAGGCAUGCAAGUCGAGCGAGAAUUUGCGAUUGGAAGCUUCGGCCGAAGAAAGUGAAGGAAAGCGGCAAACGGCGUAGUAAGGCGUAGGUACGUACCCUCGGGUCGGGAAUAGCCAUGGGAAACUGUGGGUAAUGCCCGAUAAUCUCUGCGGAGCAAAGGUGUGAUUCCGCCGGAGGAGCGGCUUACGUGAUAUUAGCUAGUUGGUGGGGUAAUGGCCUACCAAGGCAACGAUGUCUAGGGGGUGUGAGAGCAUGGCCCCCCACGACCGGAACUGAGACACUGUCCGGACACCUACGGGUGGCUGCAGUCGAGAAUCUUCCGCAAUGGGCGCAAGCCCGACCAAGCGACGCUGCGUGCGGGAUGAAGGCCCUUGGGUUGUAAACCGCUGUCAGGGGGGAUCAAGGCGAAAGCUUGAGAGAGCCCCAGAGGAAGCACGGGCUAAGUUCGUG
RNAcentral lists this ribosomal RNA (472 nucleotides) under uncultured bacterium. RNAcentral's name for it is "bacterial SSU rRNA". It matches the Rfam family "Bacterial small subunit ribosomal RNA", at positions 29 to 507 of the family's 1533-position model. The record is from RNAcentral.